AAAACUUUCAACAACGGAUCUCUUGGUUCUGGCAUCGAUGAAGAACGCAGCGAAAUGCGAUAAGUAAUGUGAAUUGCAGAAUUCAGUGAAUCAUCGAAUCUUUGAACGCACAUUGCGCCCGUCAGUAUUCUGGCGGGCAUGCCUGUUCGAGCGUCAUUA
This 159-nucleotide ribosomal RNA is filed under the name Metarhizium robertsii. Its description in RNAcentral is "5.8S ribosomal RNA". It matches the Rfam family "5.8S ribosomal RNA". Rfam says of the family: 5.8S ribosomal RNA (5.8S rRNA) is a component of the large subunit of the eukaryotic ribosome. The record is from RNAcentral. Lineage: Eukaryota; Fungi; Ascomycota; Sordariomycetes; Hypocreales; Clavicipitaceae.